AGCAGCCGCGGUAAUUCCAGCUCCAAUAGCGUAUAUUAAAGUUGUUGCAGUUAAAAAGCUCGUAGUUGAAUUUUGGAUUCUUCCAAUUGGUCGAUCUUUUAGAUGAGUACUGGUUGUGUGGGGUCUAUCCGCCUGGUGAUACGUAAUGUCCUUUAUUGGAUGUUGCGGGUAGUCAGGACCUUUACCUUGAAAAAAUUAGAGUGUUUAAAGCAGGCUUAUGCCGGAAUACAUUAGCAUGGAAUAAUAGAAUAGGACGAAGUUGUUUUAUUUUGUUGGUUUCUAGGACAACCGUAAUGAUUAAUAGGGAUAGUUGGGGGCAUUAGUAUUCAAUUGUCAGAGGUGAAAUUCUUGGAUUUAUUGAAGACUAACUACUGCGAAAGCAUUUGCCAAGGAUGUUUUCAUUAAUCAAGAACGAAAGUUAGGGGAUCGAAGACGAUCAGAUACCGUCGUAGUCUUAACCAUAAACUAUGCCGACUAGGGAUCGGGCGAUGUUGUUUCCAUGACUCGCUCGGCACCUUAUG
This 521-nucleotide ribosomal RNA is filed under the name uncultured Archaeosporaceae. RNAcentral's name for it is "SSU rRNA". It matches the Rfam family "Eukaryotic small subunit ribosomal RNA", at positions 569 to 1092 of the family's 1831-position model. Lineage: Eukaryota; Fungi; Glomeromycota; Glomeromycetes; Archaeosporales; Archaeosporaceae. The record is from RNAcentral.